UACGGAGGGUGCAAGCGUUAAUCGGAAUUACUGGGCGUAAAGGGCACGCAGGCGGUUUAUUAAGUUAGGUGUGAAAUCCCCGGGCUUAACCUGGGAAUGGCAUUUAAGACUGGGUAGCUAGAGUAUUGUAGGGGGGGGUAGAAUUCCAUGUGUAGCGGUGAAAUGCGUAGAGAUGUGGAGGAAUACCGAUGGCGAAGGCAGCCCCCUGGGAAUAUACUGACGCUCAGGUGCGAAAGCGUGGGGAGCAAACAGG
Molecule: ribosomal RNA, 253 nt
Filed under: uncultured bacterium
Lineage: Bacteria
Description: partial 16S ribosomal RNA
Rfam family: Bacterial small subunit ribosomal RNA
Source: RNAcentral